This 6553-nucleotide long non-coding RNA is filed under the name Sus scrofa (pig). RNAcentral's name for it is "lncRNA (ENSSSCG00005008214.1)". The record is from RNAcentral. Lineage: Eukaryota; Metazoa; Chordata; Mammalia; Artiodactyla; Suidae.
CUCCAGCAGUGCAUGGAAGUUACCAGGCUAGGGGUAGAAUUGAAUCUGCAACUGUCGGCCUACACCACAGUCACAGCAACACAGCAUCCUAACUGCAUCUGCAACUUACACCACAGCUCACAGCAAUGCUGGAUUCUCAACCCACUGAGUGAGGCCAGGGAUUGAACCCAUGUCCUCAUGGAUACUAGUCAGGUUUGUUACCACUGAGACCCAAGAGAAACUCCUAUUAUUUGUUUUUUAUUUGUUCCAUCUGUUUUGUGUUCCUCUGUUCCUUAUUUUCUGCCUUCUGGAUUAUUUGAAUUUUUUAAAAAUCCAUUUUAAAUAAUAGUGUGUUUUAGCUAUGCCUCUUUAGCUAUACCUCUUUACAUUAGACUAUUAGUGGUUGCUUAGAGAUUAAAAUAUACAUAAACUAUACAUCCUUAUAUACAUGUAUAUAAACUAUACAGCUUUUUCCAGUCUAAGCAGCAUUAAUUCUAAACACCAUAUAUAAAAUGCAGAAACCUUACAACCCUAUGGACUUACAUAGGUCCAUAUGCUGCCCCCCCCAUUCUUUAAUCUAUAGUUGUCAUGGGUAUUGUAUCCACAUACUAAUAAACACCAGCAUGCAAUGUUAUAAUCUUUUGCUUUAAACAGAUUUAUGUAUUUUAAAGAAAUUAAGAUUUUAAAAUUUAUUUACCCACAUAUUUCCCAGUUUUGAUACUCUUCAUUACUUCCCUAAAAUCUGAAUUCCCAACUGGUAUCAUUUACCCUCAAAUAACUUCUAUUAGUGUUUAUCAGAAAUAGCAACAAAUUAUCUAAGUGUUAUUUUGUCCCAAAUAUUUUCCUUUUUGAAGGGUACAAUCCCUGGCUAUAGACUCCUAAGUUGACAGGUUUGUCUUUCAGAAUCAAAUACAUUGUUCCACUUCCUUCUGGCCUCCAUAGUGUCUGAUGAGAAGUCUGCAGUAACUCAAAUCAUAUUCUUCAUGUACAAUGUGUAUCAUUUUCUUUGGCUGCUUCAAAGAUCUCCUCUUUCUCUUUAUUUUCAGCAGUUUGAUUAUGAUACUUAGACGUGGUUUUAUUUAUAUGUAUCCUGUUUGGGGUUCACUAGGCUUUUUGAAACUCAAAUUUACUUAUUUCACCAAAUGUAGGAAAUUUCUGGACCACUAUAACUUUGAAUACUUUUUCCUCCUACAUUCUCUGUUUCCUCUUGGGACUGAAAUUGCAUAGGUGUUAGAACUUUUAGUAUUGUCCCACAUGUUCCCAGAGCUCUCUUCAUUAUUUUCAAUCUGUUUUCUCUCUCCAGAUUGAAUCUAUAUUUAAGUUCACUGACUCUUUCAUUUAUUAUCUCCAUUCUGGUAAUAAGCCAAUCCCCUGAAUUUUCAAUUUCAAAUAUUAUAUUUUCUUCAGUUCUAGGAUUUCUAUUUGGUUCUUAUUUUUAUAAUUUCUACUUCUUAGUUGAGAUUUCUUUUCUUUCACUGACAGCAUAUUUUCCUUUAUUUAACUGAGUAUAGUUAUAAUAUCUUCUCUAAAACUGUUGUCUUCUGUGGAGUUCCUGUCAUGGCUCAGUGGUUAAUGAACUAGACUAGUAACCAUGAGGUUGCGGGUUUGAUCCCUGGCCUCGCUCAGUGGGUUAAAGAUCCAGCAUUGCCAUGAGCUAUAGUGUAGGUCGCAGAUGUAGCUCAGAUCCCACAUUGCUGUGGCUGUGUCAUGGGCUGGUGGCUACAGCUCCAAUUAGACCCCUAGCCUUGGAACCUCCAUAUGCUGUGGAUGUGACCUUAAAAAAACAAAAAAUACAAAAAAUAAAAUAAAAUAAAAUUGUUGUCUUCUAAUUCCAACAUCUUGGGGGGCAUAUCAGGAGUCUCAGUUGAUUGACUUCUCUUAAGACUGGGUCAUAAUUUCCUUUUUUGUUUUUGUUUUUGUAUCCGGAAUGUCAUGUAUUGGGAAUGUUAUGUUGCAGAGAUUCUGGAGUCUAUUUUGAUCCUCCCUAGAAUGUGGACUUUUUUGUUUUGGUAGGUGAUUAGCAUGAUUGGACUUAAACUGCAAACUCUGUGUCUUUAGUAUCAGCUCAAAUCACAGUGCAAAUCUUUUAUUUUAGCUCAACUGCCUUGAGUCUGGCUACAAGCAUGUGUGGUUCAGGGGCCAGUCAGCUAUUUGGAUAGAGUUUUUUUCUUUUUGUGCAGGGCUUUUAGUUUUUAAUUAAUUUUUUACCUUUUUAGGGCCACACCCCAGGAUAGGGGUCGAAUUGGAGCCACAGCUGCCAGCCUAUGCCACAGCUACACCAAUGCCAGAGCCGAGCCAUCUCUGCAACCUACACCACAGCUUGCAGCAAUUCUGGAUCCUUGACCCACUGAGCAAGGCCAGGGAUCGAACCUGCAUCCACAUGGAUACUAGUCAGAUUCAUUUCUGCUGAGCCAUGAUGGGAACUCCAGGGCUUAGUUUUUAAACAUGAAUAAAUACCCAAUUUCCUUGGCCAUCCUUAUAUGCUUGUUUCUGAAGCACAGGUGUUUUGUUCACCUGUCACAAAGCUGGAUGGCCUCUGAGCAGGUGCUUAGUGACAGGAAGAAACACCUUCGCAAGAAGUUAAGGAUUAAAAGGCCAACUUUCUCUUAGGCUGAGGGGAGAGCCAGCUGUGGGUGAACCUGUCUGUAUCAGUCUGCUCAAGCUAUCAUCACUAUGUGGCUUAAACAGCAGAAAUUAAUUUCCUCACAGUUCCAGAUUCUGGAAGUCCAAAAGUAAGGUGUCAGCAGGUCUGGUUUUCCUGAGGCCUCCCUCCUUGGCAUGUAGAUGGUGGCUAUCUUCUCCCUGUGCCCUCACACUGUGUUCCCUCUGUCUUUGUCUGUGUCUGAGCUCCUCUUCUUGUAAGGACAACAGUCAUACUGGAUUGGGAACCACCCUCACAAUCUCAUCUAACCUUAAAUACCUUUGAGGACUUUGUCUCCAAGUAGAGUUGUAUUCUGAGCUGCUGGCAGUUAGGGCUUCAACAUAUGAAUAAUUUGGGGUGGGAAACAAUUCAUCCCAUACACUGCCCUUCAAAGGCUAAGGACUGCCCUCCCUUAAAAGGGCAAUGAAUUCAGCUGAUCCACCCCGUGGUGCCCAGCUUAUCCUUACAUCCUUGUAUUCUGAUGAGGAAGCUAAGGCUCUGGAAGCUGCCUUCACAGAGCUACUUACUGAGUGGCACAUCUGGUGCCCACUUCCCACUUUGGGUCUUGGGCUCUGGUCCUCCAAGCCCAGUAGGUCGUGGGUACCAGCCACAAAGCUCAGGACCUCCCGCCACAGGGUCAAAAGUACCAACUGUGACCAUUCCUGUGUUGAUGGAGGGGCCCUGUCUGUGGCUUAGCACUGCCUCCCAGCAGCCCAGACAGCCUGACUCAGAGGUGGGCGCUCUCUCCCCAUCCUCCAGCACCAGGGCCUGAACAUUUCUGAAAGCCCUCCCUCGUCUGCUGCCUCCUGGCUCUGUGGUGCCGCAGGCAUCCCAGGUCUCAAUGGUCUGUGUUUGACGACCCAAGGGAAAGCAAGAGCAGCUCGGCAUGGGUGUGAAUCACUGCAGAGUCUGAGCCCCUGGGUGCGGCCUGGCUGCGGGGCAGGUGUGCAGCCUACCUCGGGGAACACUCUGCUGCAAGUGGAGGGGUGGGGGGUCCCAGAGCACAGCGGUCUGAGCAGGGUCCACAGUCCUCUCCUGGAGCAUCUGGCUUUGCCGCACUUGCCUCUUCCAACCAGGGACUACCAUGGACAAUGAAAACGUCCAGCGUGGUGGGUCUAGUCUGCAGGGUGGGGAGGGGGGGUUAGCGAGGAACAGCUAGAAGGAUGAAGCAACACCUGGAAUGACCAGAAUCGGGAUGUUUUGGAGAACUGGGCUUCUCUGAAAGUCAUUUUGAAGCGCAGAUGAUUUGGAAGAGCACGGCAGAGCCCUGAGCCACCAGGAAGUCGGGGUGGGGUAGGGAGGUGACAGACAGGCAGAAAGGCUGCCGCUGUCACUAUUCUCCACAGCUCUGUCGCCAGCCCGUUUUACUUGUCAAAGACCAUUUCUAACCAAGCACCACGGCUUUCCCCCAGCGUGAGUCCUGCGUUCACGUCAACGCAGCAUAUUUAUGCAAUCUGCCUCAAUUACACUGUCUAGGGAACAGCCCGGCAACCCAUUAAUCCUCUGGGAAAACAUUUUAAACAGACCAAUUCAGAGACAGCGCCCUCACAAUGCUGACCUCCGCCAGCUCCUUUUUUGGCAGAAGGAGGCAGGGCGCUUGACCUGCCAGGAAGAGGCGGUGGGCGCCGUCCUGCGUCCUAAGCCCGCCCGCCCGCCGUCCAGCCCCUGCUGAUUCACUGCCCGGUGUGUGUGCAUCUUGCCACCAGGUAACUGUAGCCUAACGUGUUGCCCAGUGUAGGGUCACAACAGGAAGACGUGCAAUUAAAGGGACAAAAAUACCCCAAGGAAAUCAACACGGGACUUAUUAAUAUCAGACCCAUAGGUGACAAGUGUCAGACAAUCGGUCAACAAGGGGCCCCGUGUCUGCGUGAUCCCGGCUAACCCAUUAUGAUCUUUAUGAAGUGUCCUUCUGGGGGGUCCGGAUCUGCAGAUAUGAGGGGAAGCCCCUCUCCUUUUAUUAGCAGCUAAGCUCUUUAUACUUUGACCAUAUUGCAGCAGGUUAGAAGUCUAAGCUUUAUUGUCUUAUGUUAUUGAAAAUCCAGAUUCUGGCAGGCUUCUCCCUCAGGUCACGCUUUGUCUGCGAAUACAUUCUCAUCUUUCCAUGUACAGAGACCGUCUGGAGAGAGGCAGAAAAAGAUUAGGACUGUAAUAUACUUAAAUCCAAUUUAUUUGCCUGGCCAGAAACUUCCACCCUCCACAAUUGCUUCCUACCCGAGAUGUUGUCUUUAAUUCUUUCGUGACAGGGAGAAACACAGCUCCCAGCAGGUUCCGGCAAGAGGAAGGGCUGGGGUCCUGAGGCGUCCACACCGGUGGGGAACAGGGGGACCUGGGGUGGGGGGUAUCCCAGCCACAGACUGAAGUUUCUGGUUCAGAACGGCUCCUUUUUUUAUGAGGAAUAAUCUUAAGUCGCUGUCAUUCAUCAGAAGAGAAACGCCUUCAUUAGAGGGUGGCAGGCCCAGAAAAGCCCGCUGGCCGAGGUCCCUGCCACCAUGGCUCCCUCGUGCUUUGUGUCACCCAGGAGGGGCUGUCCCCUGGCCGCCUGGCUCCCGCCCAGGUGUCAGCCCCAACCAGGUUGGUCCCCACAGUGCAGCCCAGGUCCAUCUCAGCCUGUAGUAACUUUCCUUCCAGACUCUGCCUCUGGACGCAGACAGGGAGCCUGGCAGGGACACGAUCGGGGCGGGGGGGCAGGNNNNNNNNNNNNNNNNGUGUGCUCAGUUAAGGGAAGGGCUGCCCAGUGGCUGCCCACCCCUCUCCCCCUCCCCACCCGGCAGAACCAGGUCAUGAACUCAGAGCUGGGCUGCCCCCAUUGUUACCUGCGGGCCCUGCCGACAGUCAGCCCAGUGGAGGAGGGGUCAGAACACAACUGAUGGGCACCGACUGUGUACACUCUUCCAUGCCAGGCCUUGACAAAGGGAGGAAGCAGAGAUGGGCAUCCAGAAAGAAAUAAUGAACAGGGGACCUCCGAACUCAGGGCAGGGAAGUGGGAUGUGGGGACAGGGUCCCAGCUGGCAGGGAGCACCCCAGGAGGAGCUUGGGAGAUCCUGCACCCAGUGACCCACUGGGGCCUCUUUGCCCGGAAUGUGCCUGUUAACACCGAGAGUCACACAUCCCAGGAAACCCCCAGGUCCGGACAAACCACCCUAGCAGCCAGAAUAUCAUCUCGGUGCUGCCCUGUCCCUCCUGGGUGACCCUGAAAGCCAGCUCGCAACCUGGUUAAUUCCUCACCCAUGCACCAUGGGCACGACAAGGCCUUUGACCUCUAGGAAACCUUGAGGCUUUCCCGCUCUCCUUCGGGUCCGUGGUCUUCCCCAAGCUCUGGCUGCCUCUCAGAGAUAGCAGGUCACCAUGUUUGCUGUUCCUCGAGAGCCACGGGACGUGAUCCAUUCCAAGACACGGCAAGCCACACGGCAUCAAGGUGCAGGGCUCGGGAUAAGAAACCGGCUUCCUGGGGAAGCGGCUCCAAAGCCAACAGUGGGAGGCCCUGGCAGCCGAGCAGCGAGCAGCUCCAGGACGGCGCCCCAUCCUCUGCUGCCUGCCCUCGCCACGGGGUGAGACAGGAGGGGAAAGGAGGAGACAGUGAGGGAGCCCGGGUGCUCCUUUUUAAGGGAAUGCUGGGAACCUGGGCUGCCAGCAGCACCAGCAGGCCUGGGUCCCUGCAUCCCCAGCCUCCAGUCCCUUCUGGGCAAAAGGUACCGCUGUGCCAGCCAGCCUGUUGCCAGGCAGCCCAUAAAGAGCUACAACAGUGGUGCCAAAACAUGAGCUUGUCCUUGAUGUUCAAGGCACAUGUGGGCGUUUCGGUUUCCCCAAGGUGAAGGCCAUGUCGAGGCUACUUUUGCAAAACAUCUCGGAAAGUGGCCACGUGGGUCAUGGACAUCAGAUGCUGUCCCAUUAGAAAUAAGACAGCACUGAACGCCUUUGGUGGUUGUCCCAGCC